AUGGAUGACGACGGCGGCGCCUCCCCAUCCCACCACGGCGGCUGCGGACGAAGCAUCCGCCUGGAAUGCCGAUGCGGCUUCAAGGACGACUACAGCCUCGACGACACCGAGGACGGCCGCUUCUACUGCGGGCGGUGCUACGGCGACCUCGACACCCAGGCGACCGCCGUCGACCACCAAGAUUUCCAAACCCCGGGCAACAUAAUCCCACGAGCCGACUUUGUGCCUGGCGCCGACCCGGAGGAGCUGGGGGCUCAGCUCCGGCGGCGCUACGUGCAGGGGCUGCAGGUGAUCCUGCACCAGCAGCUGCAAGUGCUGGUGGAGAGGUACCGGGUGGGCGCACUCGUCUGCGGCGUGGCCGGAACCGUCUGGCUGCGCUGGGUGGCCGCCUCCAAGGUGUUCGACGGAAUGUGGGCGCGGAAGGUGCUCGCCGAGGCCGAGGCCGCGCAGAGACUGAUUAAGCGCUCUGCCUGUGGAGGCCAGCAGGAACCUCAAGAGGUGAAGAAGUGUGAACGGGCGGACGAAGCCUCGCCUCGGAAAGACAGGCGAAGGGUUGAGUUCAUCUUUCUGCGCUCAUUGAGGACGAUGCUGCCGCUGCACUCGACAUUGUCUGUCUGUUUCCUGUCCUGUCAUAUUGCCCGGGAAGCCAUCCUACCGACCGACAUUUAUAGGUGGGCGAUGGAGGGUAAGCUUCCUUAUGUGGCGGCAUUUACGGAAGUGGACAAGCUUCUUGGGAGCCGUCCAAAACACUGCCCUCUGAAUGCGAGGCAACUGUUCAGGCCAGUCCGAGUGAUUGGAGCGUGGCAGCUGGAAGCGGCCGCCGGGUUCAUAGCACAAAGAAUAGGCUUGCAGCUUCCUUCAGUCAAUUUCUAUGCUAUUGCUCAGCGCUACUUGGAUGAGUUUUCUCUGCCGGAGAUUUGUGAGGCAGCAAGAAAUGCAGGCGGGUCUGACUGUCAUGCAAAAUUACCGCAAUCUAUGAAGCCUGAUGGCGGCACCAGUGAGGAGUUUGGCACAAGGGAAUUGCUGUGGACUCUUGUAGAUGCCUAUGAUAAAAUUGACGUUGCACAUGCAUUAGGGCAUGUCCAACUCUCCAGGUUGGACAGCUGCUCCAGCACUCCACGUAGGAUCAGAUGGUCCAGUUUGCCAAAAGACUAUUCGAAGGACCUUCACUCAUAUCUCAGAUAUUGCAAAGAUGUUGUUUUUCCUGGGAUUGCAUGUUCAGUUGAAGAAGAGCACUUAAUAGAGAUCUUCCAGGAUUUGUACAAAGGACGAGAGGGUGAGAAUAUAAAAGCUCACACCACAAAUGGAGUGAAUAAACGAGGUCGGGAUGGGACUUCUGUUGGUGCAAGGUGCUUUUCUCCAUCAUCAUCAUCAGGGAUACAGAGUAUCAAGUCAGAAAUGGAAGUCCACGGAUUUUGUUAUAUGCCGCCAAGGAAGUGGCCAAGAUCAGAUGGUUACCUUCACUAUAGAAGGAAGGCAAUGACUGGUCGUCUUGUUUGUGCUGGACAUGCUGAUUAUUACCUGUUGCUACGCUCAUUUGCCAAGCUUGCAGAAGUUGAUAUUAGGGUUAUGCAUGCCAGCCAUGGCGGAUUCUUUGCCAGUCAUCGUGACGAUGGUCUGCGCUACCUUGAUCACUCGGCCAGACCCAACGCCGCCGGCGCUGGCUUGCACCGGCAUCCUUUCCAUACAAUCGUGGAAGUUAUUAAUGCAACUAAUGUACACAGAAAACCAACACAAGACCGAAUAUUGAGCGAUUGGCAGUGUGGUGAUGAUUCAUCUCGUAACAAUGUCAUAGAAGGUGAUCACAUGAAGUUCAUAGGAAAGCAUGGCGUCGCCGCCUCCGACCCCAGCCUUCUCCAGGACUUCUGCGUCGCUGACAAGACGUCCCAAGUGCGUGUCAACGGGCUGCCUUGCAAAGAUGCGACGGAAGUCGUCGCCGAGGACUUCUUCUUCUCCGGCCUUCAUGUGGCCGGCAACACGGCCAACAAGCAGGGCUCCGCAGUGACUGCCGUCAACGUCGCGCAGAUUGGUGGUCUCAACACCAUGGGCAUCUCCCUCGUCCGCAUCGACUAUGCGCCGAACGGCCUCAACCCUCCCCACACCCACCCGCGCUCCACCGAGAUCUUGACCGUGCUAGAGGGUUGUCUCCAUGUGGGCUUCAUCACCUCGAACCCUGAGAACAGACACUUCACCAAGGUUCUCACCAAGGGAGACGUGUUUGUAUUCCCCAAGGGCCUCGUCCAUUACCAGUUCAAUAAUGGGAAUACUCAUGCUGUGGCCAUCGCGGCGCUGAGCAGCCAGAACCCCGGAGUGAUCACGGUAGCCAACGCGGUGUUUGGAUCGGAGCCUGCCAUCUCAGAUGAUGUUAUUACCAAGGCAUUUCAGGUGGAGAAGAACACCGUCGAUUGGAUCCAAGCACAAUUCUAA
RNAcentral lists this ribosomal RNA (2427 nucleotides) under Triticum aestivum (bread wheat). RNAcentral's name for it is "partial small subunit ribosomal RNA". Lineage: Eukaryota; Viridiplantae; Streptophyta; Magnoliopsida; Poales; Poaceae. The record is from RNAcentral.